AUUGAACGCUGGCGGAAUGCUUUACACAUGCAAGUCGAGCGGCAGCGCGGGGGCAACCCUGGCGGCGAGCGGCGAACGGGUGAGUAACAUAUCGGAACGUACCCAGUCGUGGGGGAUAACUAUCCGAAAGGAUAGCUAAUACCGCAUACGUCCUGAGGGAGAAAGCGGGGGAUCGCAAGACCUCGCGCGAUUGGAGCGGCCGAUAUCGGAUUAGCUAGUUGGUGGGGUAAAGGCUCACCAAGGCGACGAUCCGUAGCGGGUCUGAGAGGACGACCCGCCACACUGGAACUGAGACACGGUCCAGACUCCUACGGGAGGCAGCAGUGGGGAAUUUUGGACAAUGGGCGCAAGCCUGAUCCAGCCAUGCCGCGUGAGUGAAGAAGGCCU
Molecule: ribosomal RNA, 387 nt
Filed under: uncultured bacterium
Lineage: Bacteria
Description: bacterial SSU rRNA
Rfam family: Bacterial small subunit ribosomal RNA
Source: RNAcentral